CUUAGCAGACGUUAUCGUCGUCUGAUNCUGUUAUUUUUAGCAAUCAUUCGCUUAAUUGCUGUAUCGUUCUAUAUCGAAAUAGCCUAUCGUGCGUGCAGUGUCGUUCAACUAUCACUUUGACAACUGCAGCGGGUAUAACUAAAUACACAACAACAAUAACGCCAAACAUUGUUGGAGUCUUUGUAAUAGCAAUAAUAGCUAAAACAUUGUCGCAGAAACGCGGGUAUUCGCCCACCCAUUUCGUUGCUGCUGUUCUAUUGAAUGCGUACAUAACAGUUGCAGUGUUACAGAAACAGCACAACAACAGAGUCAGCUCGUCGACAACGACGUCAUAUGCUGCAUUGGCAGCGAGCGAAAACUUGCUCUUGUACGCAUUGACUGUGCUAAAUGCAACAGAAAAGAUAAAAAGUUAAAACUAAAAUUGUUGCACAAAUGUGUAUUACAACAACUUCAAGAGAGAGCCGAAANUCAACUCUAAAUUACUGAGUAUCUGCUGCUAUUUAUGCAAAGAGCAAAAGUGAACUUUUGAAUGCAACAACGUGCAUAUGUAAAGAGUGAGUGAGUUAUCGCUGCAGCAACACUUGCUGUUCUGGCGCAGAAGCUACUAUUGUCACUAUUACCAGCUACUUUUAUUCGUGUAUUGUGUUUUUGUAAUCAGAUGCCGGCUUCUUAGAACGCUUUGUUACAGUAUUUGUGAUAAUUCAGCGAGUGGGUGACCGGCAAGGCAACGUCGUUCACAUUGCAACAGCAUCAAGUGCAUUAGCGAAGACUAUGCGAAGUGUGUGUUGCAGCGGUUAAAGAGAAUUGACUUUCUAUACAUACACAUAUGCUAAGUUUAAAAUUAAAAAAAAACCAAAAACAAAAGUUCGAAAGUAUAAAAAGCAACUACAAGGUGACCGACAUUGGCCAUCAACCUGUUGGCGACUGUUUAAAGUUGUGAGAAAAACGUGUGGCAAUUCACUUGAGAAUAAAUUUAUUGCAAGAAAAUCAACAACAAUAACAACAUGUGACUGUAAAAAA
RNAcentral lists this unclassified non-coding RNA (1020 nucleotides) under Bactrocera latifrons. RNAcentral's name for it is "uncharacterized LOC108968644, transcript variant X5". Lineage: Eukaryota; Metazoa; Arthropoda; Insecta; Diptera; Tephritidae. The record is from RNAcentral.